CAGCAGCCGCGGGAAAACGUAGGGUGCGAGCGUUAAUCGGAAUUACUGGGCGUAAAGCGUGCGCAGGCGGUUUUGUAAGACAGGCGUGAAAUCCCCGGGCUCAACCUGGGAAUGGCGCUUGUGACUGCAAAGCUAGAGUGCGGCAGAGGGGGAUGGAAUUCCGCGUGUAGCAGUGAAAUGCGUAGAUAUGCGGAGGAACACCGAUGGCGAAGGCAAUCCCCUGGGCCUGCACUGACGCUCAUGCACGAAAGCGUGGGGAGCAAACAGGAUUAGAUACCCCCGUAGUCCCUGUCUCUUAUAA
RNAcentral lists this ribosomal RNA (301 nucleotides) under uncultured bacterium. RNAcentral describes it as "partial 16S ribosomal RNA". It matches the Rfam family "Bacterial small subunit ribosomal RNA", at positions 509 to 809 of the family's 1533-position model. The record is from RNAcentral.